RNAcentral lists this unclassified non-coding RNA (186 nucleotides) under uncultured fungus. RNAcentral's name for it is "sequence contains ITS2". Lineage: Eukaryota; Fungi. The record is from RNAcentral.
AACAAAUCUCACGCCUGGCGUGGUAUUGGGCCUUGGACCUAGCGUCGGGCUCCAAAUGCGUCGGCUAUAAAUUAGUAAAUGGGGAGUGCUGUAGCAUGGUGCCGCAAAUAUCGACAAAUAUAUGCGGCGCGGAGUUUGUAGGCCCCUGCCCUGCGCGUUCGCAUCGGUAACUCGAACCGAACACAA